UAAAAAUUUAUGAUUUUAAAAAUUUAUUUAUUAUUUAUUUUACAUGUAAAUUUUAGUAUGAAUUUUAUAUUAUUUUAAUAAUAAUAAUUUAUUUUACAGUAAUUAAUAUUAAAAAUUUAAGAAAUUAAGAUUUAGUAAUAUUAUAAUUAUUAACUAAUUUUGUGCCAGCAGUUGCGGUUAUACAAAAAUUAAGAUAAAUUUUUUUAGUUAUAAUAAAUAUAAUAAUUUUUGAAUUAAAUAUUAAAUUAUUAAGUGAAAUUUUAAUUUAAUGAAAUUUUAUAUAAAAAAUAUGAUUUAAUAAAUUUAUUAAAAAACUAGGAUUAGAUACCCUAUUAUUUAAAAUUUAAAUUAAAAUACUAAAAUAGUAAAUAAAUAUUAUUGAAACUUAAAUAAUUUGGCGGUAUUUUAGUUCAUUUAGAGGAAUCUGUUUAUUAAUUGAUAAUCCACGAAUAAAUUUACUUAAUUUAUUAUUUUAUAUAUCGUUGUUAAAAAAAUAUUUUUAAAUAAAAAUAAUAUUUUAAAAUUAAAAAUAAAAAUUAGUUCAGAUCAAGAUGUAGAUUAUAAUUAAGAAUUUAAUGGAUUACAAUAAAUAUAUUUAAAUGGAUUUUUUUUUGAAAAAAUUAAAUGAAAGUGGAUUUAAAUGUAAUUUUAUUUAAUUUAAUAAAAUGAUUUAAAAUUAAAAUAUGUACAUAUUGCCCGUCACUUUCAUUUUAAAAUUGGAAUAAGUCGUAACAAAGUAGAGGUACUGGAAAGUGUUUCUAGAAAGAC
This 768-nucleotide non-coding RNA is filed under the name Megathymus cofaqui cofaqui. The record is from RNAcentral. Lineage: Eukaryota; Metazoa; Arthropoda; Insecta; Lepidoptera; Hesperiidae.